Molecule: ribosomal RNA, 497 nt
Filed under: uncultured bacterium
Lineage: Bacteria
Description: partial 16S ribosomal RNA
Rfam family: Bacterial small subunit ribosomal RNA
Source: RNAcentral
GAUGAACGCUGGCGGCGUGCCUAAUACAUGCAAGUCGAGCGAACAGAUGAGGAGCUUGCUCCUCUGACGUUAGCGGCGGACGUGUGAGUAACACGUGGAUAACCUACCUAUCAGACUGGGAUAACUUCGGGAAACCGGAUCUAAUACCGUAUAAUAUCUUGCACCGCAUGGUUCAUUAGUGAAAGACGGUUUUGCUGUCACUUCUCGAUGGAUCCGCGCCGCAUUAGCUAGUUGGUAAGGUAACGGCUUACCAAGGCAACGAUGCGUAGCCGACCUGAGAGGGUGAUCGGCCACACUGGAACGGAGACACGGUCAAGACUCCUAAGGGAGGCAGCAGUAGGGAAUCGUACGCAAUGGGCGAAAGCAUGACGGAGCAACGCCGCGUGAGUGAUGAAGGUCUUCGGAGCGUAAAACUCGGUUAUUAGGGAAGAACAAAUGUGUAAGUAACUAUGCACGGAUUGACGGUACCUAAUCAGAAAGCCACGGCUAACUACGUG